CGAACCCUGGUGGCCUUUUUGGACACAGGUUCGAACACAGACCCUCUGGAUUCAAACACAGCUACCAAAAUAGUGCGCUCCCAUUCGCACUGCAUCCAGCGCUGGUUGGCUUGCAGAGUGUUCCAGCGCUGACAGGUGCAAAGACCCCUCUCCAUACCUGAACCCGACCAGCCCAAACCGUGCUAGUUAGACCGUUAUAAUGUCGUAAGUGCGAACAGGCCUAUUAUGGCUACAAAUAGACUAAGGGUCUGGCCUUAUUUUUUUAUUGAACAAAGCAGGUAAAAUUUAGAUUAAAAUUGCGGCCUUUCAAACACACGCUGGCAUAAAAUCUAGUAUUUAGAAGAUGAAGAAAGCAGAAGGUAGAAAAGUUAUUUUAGAUAUGUAAAGCAUGUUUAACAGGGGCUCUUCUGAAGCUGCAGUUUGUCUCUGAUCCAGAAGCAUUGUUCCCUCUUUUUGUCUCUGGACCAAACAGUUUCCACCACUGUAGAGCCAACUCCAAAGCAAAGCAGUCUCUGACAAAACAGGACUAGGCAUGUUGAGCCCGAUCAUGGGGGUUUCUUCAAGAAUGAAGAAUGGACUAUUGGAUGACAAUUUUGGAUUUUUCAAAACACUUCUCUGCUAUGAUCCUUCCAACUACUGUUCCAUAUUAAAUUGAAAGUAUUUCAAUGGUUUAAGAUGCUAAAGUUGUUCAUUCAAUAACUUGUCCCAUGUUAUCUCUAACUUUGUGCAUCUCUUCUGCUUUAUAAACUCCACUGUGAGCCAAACAUAUAAUUCAAUUCCCAAGGACUGCCAUCUGUUGGAGCUUAAGAGCUUUGUCAGUAUAGUCAUCCUUGUGUAAUGUUCUGAGAUUUUCCCCCCCAUAAACCAUCAAGUAGUUCAAAGCCAUAUUAUGCAAGUAAUUGCCCUCUCCAGAACAUGGAGGUUAGGAAAACCAAGGAGACCCAGUCUUCUACCAGUGUAAGUCAAUGGCACGGCAAAGAUCAGGGCAGUCAAGUGGUCUAAAUCAAUGGUAGUGCAGCGGAGAGAUCCAAGCUAUUGUUGUGUCAGUGGCACUAGGGAAGGGUAACUCCGUCUGUCGAGCAAGUUAAUAGAAUCUUAGAGGCCAAAGGCCAAAUCAUAUUGAAAAGUGCACUGAACAGGAGUAGUCAGAUUCUACCAACAGCAUAAAAGCAAAACCAUGCUGUAAAAAAAGUGUGUAAUACAAAAUAAAUCAUAUUUUGCCAACUGUGUAAAAUCA
Molecule: long non-coding RNA, 1237 nt
Organism: Salvator merianae (Argentine black and white tegu)
Lineage: Eukaryota; Metazoa; Chordata; Lepidosauria; Squamata; Teiidae
Source: Ensembl